GGAAUAUUGGGCAAUGGGCGCAAGCCUGACCCAGCGACGCCGCGUGAGGGAUGAAGGCCUUCGGGUUGUAAACCUCUUUCAGUAGGGAAGAAGCGAAAGUGACGGUACCUAAAGAAGAAGCACCGGCUAACUAUGUGCCAGCAGCCGCGGUAAUACAUAGGGUGCAAGCGUUGUCCGGAAUUAUUGGGCGUAAAGAGCUCGUAGGUCGUUUGCCGCGUCGAUUGUGAAAAUCUGAGGCUCAACCUCAGACCUGCAGUCGAUACGGGCAAACUAGAGUGUGGUAGGGGGGACUGGAAUUCCUGGUGUAGCGGUGGAAUGCGCAGAUAUCAGGAGGAACACCAAUGGCGAAGGCAGGUCUCUGGGCCAUAACUGACACUGAGGAGCGAAAGCGCGGGGAGCGAACAGGAUUAGAUACCCUGGUAGUCCGCGCCGUAAACGAUGGGCACUAGCUGUGAGAGCCUUCCACGGUUCUCGCGACGCAGCAAACGCAUUAAGUGCCCCGCCUGGGGAGUACGAUCGCAAGAUUAAAACUCAAAUGAAUUGACGG
This 547-nucleotide ribosomal RNA is filed under the name uncultured bacterium. RNAcentral's name for it is "bacterial SSU rRNA". It matches the Rfam family "Bacterial small subunit ribosomal RNA", at positions 358 to 916 of the family's 1533-position model. The record is from RNAcentral.